UUGUCCCUGGGCUAUUUGCCAGUUGCGAAAAGCCUCGAGCCUAUUUUACGAAUUUAGGGGACGCCGAGACGAUGAUGUGUGCAUGUCUGCUCUGCAGAAAGCCUAAUUCAUCGCGGGGGUCACCGCCUUGAACUGCUUGGUUCAAGGUCUUCCGCGACAGCGGUAGUUUGGGGACACA
This 178-nucleotide non-coding RNA is filed under the name Reinekea blandensis MED297. RNAcentral's name for it is "6S / SsrS RNA". It matches the Rfam family "6S / SsrS RNA". Rfam says of the family: E. coli 6S RNA was the first non coding RNA to be sequenced, but its function was unknown until recently. It consists of 184 nucleotides that fold into an extended hairpin structure with a large single-stranded internal bulge. The 6S RNA specifically associates with RNA polymerase holoenzyme containing the sigma70 specificity factor. The record is from Rfam by way of RNAcentral. Lineage: Bacteria; Pseudomonadati; Pseudomonadota; Gammaproteobacteria; Oceanospirillales; Saccharospirillaceae.